UGCCCAACAGCUAGCCCUUUAAUAACUUCAACAUCCCCCUAUUAAUACCCCCUAAAUACCCCCGUAUUAACUUUAAACAAAUCAUUUUUCCCCCUUAGUAUAGGC
Molecule: ribosomal RNA, 105 nt
Filed under: Liparis punctulatus
Lineage: Eukaryota; Metazoa; Chordata; Actinopteri; Perciformes; Liparidae
Description: partial 16S rRNA
Source: RNAcentral